Non-coding RNA from Odocoileus virginianus texanus, 1043 nucleotides. Lineage: Eukaryota; Metazoa; Chordata; Mammalia; Artiodactyla; Cervidae. The record is from RefSeq and is a predicted model, not a curated record.
UCAUUGUUUACACCAUUCCAGGAGACAGGAAUAGUGGAACCCUGGCAGCGAGAUUCUUCCAACAGAGCCUUAACGUCCAGAUGGCUGUGAACCUUCACACCACGAAUCUUGUUACACCUGGGAUUUUGGUGCCUUUAAUCUGAGAAAGAGUACAUAUCCAUUCAAUAAUCCAAAAGGACUUGAAAACUGCUCUUCUCUAAACUAAAGCUGGAAUAUCAUUGGAUUUAAAGAAUCAAGGCUGAGCAGUGAUUUCAGAAGCGUUCUGAGGUCCCGUGGAAGGUCUGCCUCUCUCCAGCCUUGGGUUCUCUGCCUUCUUGAGCAUCUCAGGGUCCAGAAGAAAAAGAAGAAAGCUUACCAGUUCUGGGAGCAGUUUGGAUGAAGAGAGUUUUUAGAUGAGAAAACUGCUCCUCAGAGAUGUUCAACAGCUUGGCAGAGGUCACACAGCUACUACAACACAUUUCAAGAGAAUCAGCCACCUGCCUCUGAGAUUGUGCCAGACCUGUGGACAGAACCACGUGAGAUGCUAAGGAUUGCCAGAGGAAACUGAAUGUCUGUGUCCGUAGAAGCUUGGGAAGUGCAUUUGGCCCUCAGAAUUCCACAGGACUGGAUAGGAGGUGAUGUUAGAGCCAGUGUCGCCUCUGCCCUGAGCUGCUUGAGUUCCCUUGGGCAGGUCAUUUCCUCUCACUGUACCUUACUUUUCUCAUCUGUAUAGUGGGCUCAGUGAGUGUCUUUCAGCUCUUAGAGUCUGAAUAACAGGGUUUAGAUAGUGCCACCAGAUGGACAUAAAGAAUAUAUUAGCUUACAUGCUGUUUUGUGUCAGAGUGGGAAAGGGGAUAUUUAAAACUAUAUUUAAAUGCUAGUUUUAAUUAACUAGAUUUUAUUAUAUUUUAAUUUAAAGAUAGUAUAAAAUUUUAAAAUAGAGAUCUGUUCCAGAGCCCUUAAAUGUCACAAACAGUCUGUGAUUGUCCAAGAAUGUAUCGCCUUUGGGUCUUACUCUUCUUUCUUGUUACUUUAUUAUCCAAUUAAAGUGUAUAUGUUUGUUU